ACAAGGUCUCCGUUGGUGAACCAGCGAAGGGAUCAUUA
RNAcentral lists this ribosomal RNA (38 nucleotides) under Trichoderma sp. CNU556. RNAcentral's name for it is "partial 18S ribosomal RNA". The record is from RNAcentral. Lineage: Eukaryota; Fungi; Ascomycota; Sordariomycetes; Hypocreales; Hypocreaceae.